This 497-nucleotide ribosomal RNA is filed under the name uncultured bacterium. Its description in RNAcentral is "partial 16S ribosomal RNA". It matches the Rfam family "Bacterial small subunit ribosomal RNA", at positions 28 to 507 of the family's 1533-position model. The record is from RNAcentral.
GAUGAACGCUGGCGGCGUGCCUAAUACAUGCAAGUCGAGCGAACAGACGAGGAGCUUGCUCCUCUGACGUUAGCGGCGGACGGGUGAGUAACACGUGGAUAACCUACCUAUAAGACUGGGAUAACUUCGGGAAACCGGAGCUAAUACCGGAUAAUAUAUUGAACCGCAUGGUUCAAUAGUGAAAGACGGUUUUGCUGUCACUUAUAGAUGGAUCCGCGCCGCAUUAGCUAGUUGGUAAGGUAACGGCUUACCAAGGCAACGAUGCGUAGCCGACCUGAGAGGGUGAUCGCCCACACUGGAACUGAGACACGGUCCAUACUCCUACGGGAGGCAGCAGUAGGGAAUCUUCCGCAAUGGGCGAAAGCCUGACGGAGCAACGCCGCGUGAGUGAUGAAGGUCUUCGGAUCGUAAAACUCUGUUAUUAGGGAAGAACAAAUGUGUAAGUAACUAUGCACGUCUUGACGGUACCUAAUCAGAAAGCCACGGCUAACUACGUG